This 484-nucleotide ribosomal RNA is filed under the name uncultured bacterium. RNAcentral's name for it is "partial 16S ribosomal RNA". It matches the Rfam family "Bacterial small subunit ribosomal RNA", at positions 30 to 507 of the family's 1533-position model. The record is from RNAcentral.
AUUGAACGCUGGCGGCAGGCCUAACACAUGCAAGUCGAGCGGAUGAAGGGAGCUUGCUCCUGGAUUCCGCGGCGGACGGGUGAGUAAUGCCUAGGAAUCUGCCUGGUAGUGGGGGAUAACGUCCGGAAACGGGCGCUAAUACCGCAUACGUCCUGAUGGAGAAAGUGGGGGAUCUUCGGACCUCACGCUAUCUGAUGAGCCUAGGUCGGAUUAGCUAGUUGGUGGGGUAAAGGCCUACCAAGGCGACGAUCCGUAACUGGUCUGAGAGGAUGAUCAGUCACACUGGAACUGAGACACGGUCCAGACUCCUACGGGAGGCAGCAGUGGGGAAUAUUGGACAAUGGGCGAAAGCCUGAUCCAGCCAUGCCGCAUGUGUGAAGAAGGUCUUCGGAUUGUAAAGCACUUUAAGUUGGGAGGAACGGCAGUAAGUUAAUACCUUGCUGUUUUGACGGUACCAACAGAAUAAGCACCGGCUAACUUCGUG